This 1572-nucleotide long non-coding RNA is filed under the name Ananas comosus (pineapple). RNAcentral describes it as "long non-coding RNA (ACOM_LNC021941)". Lineage: Eukaryota; Viridiplantae; Streptophyta; Magnoliopsida; Poales; Bromeliaceae. The record is from RNAcentral.
UAUAUAUAUAUAGUUGUAUAGAUAGUAUUGCCCAAUAACUUAUUUGUUAUCAAAUAAGUAAUAAGGUAAAAAGCACAUAUAAUUUAUCUAAACUAUAAAUCAUUUUGAGUUGACUAUCUAAUCUUUCAAAAUUUAAUUUUAUUGUCCUAUUUUUCAAUUUAUUUGAUUUGAAUCAGUCAAUGAUAUUUUGACUUUAAAUUUUGAAUGCACUGUUUAUUUCUAAAAGUUCAAUUAGUAUACUUCAUCACAAUUAUAAAUUUAUAAAAAUAAGCAAUUUGCUUAAGUUUUGAAAUCAAAAUACUAUUGACCAACUCAAAUCAAAUAAAUUAAAAAGUUAGAAAUAACAUAUUUAAAAUUGUUCAUACUUUGGGUAUGUUCUGUACGUCUUUAAUAAGUAAUAAUAAUAUAUAUGGAUAACUGCCUAUGGUUUCCUACAAAGGUAUGAAAUAACAAAUUAAUAUAUUCCUACAAAACUUAAGAUAACAGAUAAAGUCUUUUCGUCUACAAAUAUAGUCUUCUGUUAAUAAAAUUUAAAUAACCAUGGGUUAAAAAUACUAACUACAAUUAACUAAGGGGUAAAAUUUUCUUCUUAUCUCAUAUAUGUAUAAUUAGUAUUCCAAUAUUGAGUCUCGUCAUCUGUCUCAUCCUCUCCCUUUUAUCCAUGGCAACGGCCUCGAUAAAAAUGAGGUAUGCCACUUGUGCCACGGGGAAAGGCGAGGAGAGAGAAAGAAAGAUAGAUAGCUAUUUUAGAAGGACAAAUUUGUAAGGGUAAAAUAGUCAUUUUACGCACUUAUCAUUAAAAAAUCAAUCGUGAAUCAAAUUGUAGGGACAUAUAUGAAUGAACUAAAACUUUUGGAGAAAUAUAUUUGCAAAUCAGAGAAUUUUUUAAAAAAUAAAUUUAAUAUCUUAAAUUUCGUAGGGAUAACUUUGCUAUUUAAUAUCUUUGUAGGCACCUGUAUAAAAUUAACCCUAAUAUAUAACUUGCCCAUGGCAUGGGAAAAUAUCUACAAGUCCCGCUUCUAUACUAUCAGUAGUACGGAGAUCUCUGUUGCUAGUAAGUUAUUUUCAAUGAUGUAGUUUCCAAAUCGACGAUCAGCUCCGGUUAAACUUGAUCUACACUAUUGAAAUCAUUUGGAAACUAAAUUUCAUAACUUUUCGACAUUAUUUACCUGUGAAACAAGUAAUCCAAAAAAUGAACGGCUAAUAAUAAACAUCUCAUAAAAAAUAAUAAUAAAAGACUUGAAUUUAAGAUCAGAGAUACUGAUCUUAUUCUAAAUAGUGAAAAAAAAAUUAUAAAAAUAUUAUCAGAUUUAGAUUAUUUUACACCGUUAAAUUUACAAACGCCUCACAUCGACCGUUAAAAAAUUAUCAAUUUUGAGACCUUCUGAUCACUAGCCGAAUAAUAUCAAAAAGUUAUAAAAUUUAGUUUUCAAAUACUUUCAAUAGUGUAGAUCAGAUCUAACAGAGCCGAUCGCCGAUUUGGAGACUGCAUCAUUGAAAACAACUUGAUAGGACGGAGGUCUCUGUGCUACCGACAGUACAGCAGCGGUCUAUAUCUCAAUAUCUACUACU